UCAGGUCGGCGCAUGGUCAGGCAAAUCAUUGCUCUGAUGUCGGCGGUGAGGGCGUCGUAUAACCCGAACUAGCAUGCUGUCAGACGAAUUAUUGCAUUGGUGUCGGAGGUAUGGCCGAGAUCGGAGACUUAUCAUAGUUGACUAGACUCUGCUGGGCUGAUUUGCCGUGGAGAGCUGAGAGUCCGUAGAUGACAGGAGCCAUGCGCAUUUAUG
RNAcentral lists this long non-coding RNA (213 nucleotides) under Phoenix dactylifera (date palm). RNAcentral describes it as "long non-coding RNA (PDAC_LNC015507)". Lineage: Eukaryota; Viridiplantae; Streptophyta; Magnoliopsida; Arecales; Arecaceae. The record is from RNAcentral.